GACGAACGCUGGCGGCGUGCCUAAUACAUGCAAGUAGAACGCUGAAGGAGGAGCUUACUCUUCUGGAUGAGUUGCGAACGGGUGAGUAACGCGUAGGUAACCUGCCUGGUAGCGGGGGAUAACUAUUGGAAACGAUAGCUAAUACCGCAUAACAUUGACUAUUGCAUGAUAGUCAAUUGAAAGGUGCAAAUGCACCACUACCAGAUGGACCUGCGUUGUAUUAGCUAGUUGGUGGGGUAACGGCUCACCAAGGCGACGAUACAUAGCCGACCUGAGAGGGUGAUCGGCCACACUGGGACUGAGACACGGCCCAGACUCCUACGGGAGGCAGCAGUAGGGAAUCUUCGGCAAUGGACGGAAGUCUGACCGAGCAACGCCGCGUGAGUGAAGAAGGUUUUCGGAUCGUAAAGCUCUGUUGUAAGAGAAGAACGAGUGUGAGAGUGGAAAGUUCACACUGUGACGG
This 463-nucleotide ribosomal RNA is filed under the name Streptococcus cristatus. RNAcentral's name for it is "bacterial SSU rRNA". It matches the Rfam family "Bacterial small subunit ribosomal RNA", at positions 28 to 475 of the family's 1533-position model. Lineage: Bacteria; Bacillati; Bacillota; Bacilli; Lactobacillales; Streptococcaceae. The record is from RNAcentral.